CAUGUUUUUUUGAUUAUAAUUUAAAAUUUGAUCUGCUCAAUGAUUAUUUAAAUUGCCGCAGUAUUUUAACUGUGCAAAGGUAGCAUAAUAAUUAGUUUCUUGAUUAGAAGCUGGAAUGAAUGAUUGGACGAUAAAAUAACUGUCUCUAUUUAAUUAUUUUAUGAAUUUUAUUUUUAAGUUAAAAAGCUUAAAUUUUAUUAAAAGACGAGAAGACCCUAUAGAGUUUAAUAUUAUUUAGGUUUUUAAUUUUUGGAAUAAUUUUAAAUCGAUUAUUAUUUAGUUGGGGUGACUUGAAAAUUUAUUAAAUUUUUUAAAAUUUUAAUUUUUUAUUUGAAAUUUUAUAAUCUAUAUUUUUAAAUUUAAAAUAAAUUACCUUAGGGAUAACAGCGUAAUUUUUCUUUAAAGUUCUUAUUGAAAGGAAAGGUUGCGACCUCGAUGUUGGAUUAAAAUUAAUUCUAGG
RNAcentral lists this ribosomal RNA (460 nucleotides) under Dictyoptera aurora. RNAcentral's name for it is "partial 16S ribosomal RNA". Lineage: Eukaryota; Metazoa; Arthropoda; Insecta; Coleoptera; Lycidae. The record is from RNAcentral.